CCUACGGGUGGCAGCAGUGAGGAAUAUUGGUCAAUGGGCGCAAGCCUGACCCAGCCACGUAGCGUGAAGGAUGACUGCCCUACGGGUUGUAAACUUCUUUUAUAAAGGCAUAAAGUGAGGCACGUGUGCCUUUUUGUAUGUACUUUAUGAAUAAGGAUCGGCUAACUCCGAGCCAGCAGCCGCGGUAAUACGGAGGAUCCGAGCGUUAUCCGGAUUUAUUGGGGGUAAAGGGAGCGUAGAUGGGUGGUUAAGUCAGUUGUGAAAGUUUGCGGCUCAACCGUAAGAUUGCAAUUGAUACUGGCAGUCUUGAGUACAGGUGAGGUAGGCGGAAUUCGGGGUGUAGCGGUGAAAUGCUUAGAUAUCACGAAGAACUCCGAUUGCGAAGGCAGCUUACUAAACUGCCACUGACAUUGAUGCUCGAAAGUGUGGGUAUCAAACAGGAUUAGAUACCCCAGUAGUC
This 460-nucleotide ribosomal RNA is filed under the name uncultured bacterium. Its description in RNAcentral is "partial 16S ribosomal RNA". It matches the Rfam family "Bacterial small subunit ribosomal RNA", at positions 338 to 795 of the family's 1533-position model. The record is from RNAcentral.